Molecule: long non-coding RNA, 338 nt
Organism: Chlorocebus sabaeus (green monkey)
Lineage: Eukaryota; Metazoa; Chordata; Mammalia; Primates; Cercopithecidae
Source: RefSeq, a predicted model, not a curated record
UGUUGGUAGAUUCUAGUCUUGUUUUUCAAUUUUUAUUAUUUUUUAUAGUUUGGACUGAAUUCUAAUUUUUCUUGGCUGUAAGUCUUCAAAAUAAUGUUUUCAAUUUUUUUUCUUCUUUUCCACCUCCACUUUUCCUAAUUUGGAGUCACUGAAAACUAAGCUGUGCUUUUGUAAAGCCCUGCAAACUGAAGCUAGACAACUUAAUCUUCAGAAGAAAAUAAUGGCAACCUAUUUACAUACGACAUGAAACUUCACAACCUGCUAAAAAUGAACUUUCCUAAUAACUCAGAACCUACCUGUCUAGGAAUAAACCAUCCUAGCCUUGAGCAAUCAGAUGA